This 203-nucleotide long non-coding RNA is filed under the name Anas platyrhynchos platyrhynchos (common mallard). RNAcentral describes it as "lncRNA (ENSAPLG00000029339.1)". The record is from RNAcentral. Lineage: Eukaryota; Metazoa; Chordata; Aves; Anseriformes; Anatidae.
CACACCCCCAAACGUCCUUGCACAAGUGUCUUCUUGCACACCUCUGCCUUUACACACCCCUUGAAAAAGUGACUUGCCUUGCACACCUUAAAUGUCCUUGCACAAGUGUCUUCUUGCACACCUCCGCCUUUACACGCCCCUUGUAAAAGUGACUCGCCUUGCACACCCCCAAACGUCCUUGCACAAGUGUCCUCUUGCACACC